GUCGGAAGUGAAAACUUGGGGCUUAACCUGAGCGUGCUUUCGAUACGGGUUGACUUGAGGAAGGUAGGGGAGAAUGGAAUUCCUGGUGGAGCGGUGGAAUGCGCAGAUAUCAGGAGGAACACCAGUGGCGAAGGCGGUUCUCUGGACCUUUCCUGACGCUGAGGAGCGAAAGCGUGGGGAGCGAACAGGCUUAGAUACCCUGGUAGUCCACGCUGUAAACGGUGGGUACUAGGUGUGGGGUCCAUUCCACGGAUUCCGUGCCGUAGCUAACGCAUUAAGUACCCCGCCUGGGGAGUACGGCCGCAAGGCUAAAACUCAAAGGAAUUGACGGGGCCCCGCACAAGCGGCGGAGCAUGCGGAUUAAUUCGAUGCAACGCGAAGAACCUUACCUGGGUUUGACAUGGACUGGGAGUGCUCAGAGAUGGGUAUGCCUCCUUGUGGGGCUGGUUCACAGGUGGUGCAUGGCUGUCGUCAGCUCGUGUCGUGAGAUGUUGGGUUAAGUCCCGCAACGAGCGCAACCCUCGUUCACUGUUGCCAGCACGUUAUGGUGGGGACUCAGUGGAGACCGCCGGGGUCAACUCGGAGGAAGGUGGGGAUGACGUCAAGUCAUCAUGCCCCUUAUGUCCAGGGCUUCACGCAUGCUACAAUGGCCGGUACAAAGAGUUGCGAGCCUGUGAGGGUGAGCGAAUCUCGGAAAGCCGGUCUCAGUUCGGAUUGGGGUCUGCAACUCGACCCUAUGAAGUCGGAGUCGCUAGUAAUCGCAGAUCAGCAACGCUGCGGUGAAUACGUUCCCGGGGCUUGUACACACCGCCCGUCAAGUCAUGAAAGUCGGUAACACCCGAAGCCGGUGGCCUAACCUGUGU
RNAcentral lists this ribosomal RNA (863 nucleotides) under Cutibacterium avidum. RNAcentral describes it as "bacterial SSU rRNA". It matches the Rfam family "Bacterial small subunit ribosomal RNA", at positions 587 to 1444 of the family's 1533-position model. The record is from RNAcentral. Lineage: Bacteria; Bacillati; Actinomycetota; Actinomycetes; Propionibacteriales; Propionibacteriaceae.